CGCGUAGGCGGAUCUUUAAGUCAGGGGUGAAAUCCUGGACGGGGGUCUCAACCUCAGAACUGCCCUUGAUACUGAAGAUCUUGAGUCCGGAAGAGGUUAGUGGAAUUCCCAGUGUAGAGGUGAAAUUCGUAGAUAUUGGGAAGAACACCAGUGGCGAAGGCGGCUAACUGGUCCGGUACUGACGCUGAGGUGCGAAAGCGUGGGGAGCAAACA
Molecule: ribosomal RNA, 213 nt
Filed under: uncultured bacterium
Lineage: Bacteria
Description: partial 16S ribosomal RNA
Rfam family: Bacterial small subunit ribosomal RNA
Source: RNAcentral